This 1908-nucleotide long non-coding RNA is filed under the name Medicago truncatula (barrel medic). RNAcentral's name for it is "long non-coding RNA (MTRU_LNC002737)". Lineage: Eukaryota; Viridiplantae; Streptophyta; Magnoliopsida; Fabales; Fabaceae. The record is from RNAcentral.
AUUAUUGUUCCUCUCAAAAAAGUAUUUUCAAUUAUUUUAUUUUCAUUUGGAAACCUUAGUUGAUUCAAGAUAUGGGACAAGUUUGUUACACUUUUGAUUUUAUCUAUUUUUGUGAUCAUCUUUAAUAAUUUCGAUCACAUACUAAUAAAAUUUCUGGAAGACGACAAUCCAAACGGUAACCGACUUUCUCUUCCUUCUCACUAAACCUUCCAAACCUCUCCACCACAAUCGAAACGGUUCUGUCACCAUGUAACUCAGCCUUCCGGUGGUGGUUCUGGUUUGUUUUGAUGUUCGCGGUGGCCCCUGUUUGACGAUGGUGGAUCUCUGCUCAACAGACUUCUCUCCUUCCCCCGAUGAUCUUCGUCUCUUUUGUUUAAUCCUCCUCCUCCGCCUUUCCUUUGGAUUGUUGUUGUUGCAAGGAACAAGGAGGUUUGUCCCAUACCCGAGUUAGUGACAGAUUGGCUGAGGCUCUUCUGCGUGUUGCUGGGUUUACGCGCUUCUCUGAUCGUGAAUCCAUGCUGGUUACUUUUGGAUUUGUGUUCGUUUCGGAUUUUGCCGUGGGUUUGUGUGAGUUUUCGUGGGUUGAUAGUUUGCUAUUGUCUGCACCGUUGGUCCGUGUGUUUUUGUUUUCUAGUUGGGUUUCGUAUUGUUCUGUGUACUGUAUUGUCCAUUUUUUAUGUGUUUUUGUUUCAGAUCAGAGAUUGGGUGGAAGCAGAUUUGGCCUAUUUUGAGGUGGUUCAGUUUCGUAAACUCGAAAGGGUCUGGUUUCUUAACCCGAAAGGGCUGUUUUAACGUGUUGGACUCAUUCCUUGAUUUGGGUCCAAACACGUCUAUUCUUUGAAAUCGUUUGAGAUGGUGUUCCUGUCCUUGACUCAUUGAUGUUCCAGGUUUGUUGAGAUCUGCAUGUCUCAAGACUUCAGGGAUGCCUUCUCUUCGGUACCAAUCAUUCUCCGUCUCAGUCUUGUGAUUGUUAGGGGACUGUUAGGCUCGAAAGAGCUUUUAUGUCUGUUGCCUAUUCAGGGGGUUGCUGGUACGUGGAUAUUGAUACCGUGUUGGUGGUCGAUCCAUUCGUCAUUUCUGAACUCUUUUUAAUCCGAUGGACGCUCACUUUUCAUGUUUUUUUGUAACUUAGUUUCGUGCCCGUAUGCGGGUUCGCUGGGUUGCGCUCGUGAGAAGUGAUUGCUUUGUUAGGAUUAAUUAGGGUUGAUCCACUGGUUUGUAUUAUCAUGUUUUAUUCCCAUUUGGGCUAGACCUGGGUCAAGUCUAAUCCCCAGUCUCUGUAUCUUGUUAUUUUUAUUUAAUCUAUUUCUCUUUUUGCCUAAAAAAAAUUACAUAAAAUUUAUGGGUCUGUCCUUGUCAACAACCUCCUAUGUUACGAAGGCAAAAGUAUCAAAUUGUAAAUGGUAUAAAAGCAUGUUGAUUGUGAGUACUUGUUUUCUCAUAUUUGGCCACUUUGCUUGAUGCAGCUUUGAGGGUUGUUUGUCCCACCGUUAAAUCAAUGGUCUCAAAUCCCGCAAGUGGAGAAACUCAAGUCAAGUCCAUACAUGUGUGUUUCCCUCCUCCGGCCACCGGUGCACUAGAACAUCUAUUGGUCUAAGUGUUGAUCUUUAAUCUUGUGGGUCAAACAAGAAGUUCACAGACGUCCCUUUUUUUUUCGAAGAUACUCUCAUACGUCUAAAUAUAGUAAAAAAAAAAAAAAAAAGACAUCUCUAACACAAUCAUGCAUGUGUCUGAAGUCGGGAAGCUCUUUACAAUGAAUUGCGUGCUACCCAAAGAUAUCCAUGCAUGUAUGUCUUACGACAAACAGAGCACAUCUCAUCCAUAGGAAAUAAUGGAAUCAUGAGGUACUUUCACGUGCUCCCCAAAAGUAUCACUAUUGUUAACUAAUUUAGGUUACAGCUAAGAGGC